Molecule: ribosomal RNA, 224 nt
Filed under: uncultured bacterium
Lineage: Bacteria
Description: partial 16S ribosomal RNA
Rfam family: Bacterial small subunit ribosomal RNA
Source: RNAcentral
CACACUGGGACUGAGACACGGCCCGGACUCCUACGGGAGGCAGCAGUGGGGAAUAUUGGACAAUGGGGGUAACCCUGAUCCAGCAAUGCCGCGUGUGUGAAGAAGGCCUGCGGGUUGUAAAGCACUUUCGGUGGGGACAAAAAGCGUCGUGCCAAUACCACGAUGUUUGAUUUAACCCAUAGAAGAAGCACCGGCUAACUCUGUGCCAGCCGCCGCCGUAACAC